GACGAACGCUGGCGGCGUGCUUAACACAUGCAAGUCGAACGGAAAGGCCCUGCUUUUGUGGGGUGCUCGAGUGGCGAACGGGUGAGUAACACGUGAGUAACCUGCCCUUGACUUUGGGAUAACUUCAGGAAACUGGGGCUAAUACCGGAUAGGAGCUCCUGCUGCAUGGUGGGGGUUGGAAAGUUUCGGCGGUUGGGGAUGGACUCGCGGCUUAUCAGCUUGUUGGUGGGGUAGUGGCUUACCAAGGCUUUGACGGGUAGCCGGCCUGAGAGGGUGACCGGCCACAUUGGGACGGAGAUACGGCCCAGACUCCUACGGGAGGCAGCAGUGGGGAAUAUUGCACAAGGGGCGGAAGCCUGAUGCAGCAACGCCGCGUGCGUGAUGACGGCCUUCGGGUUGUAAACCGCUUUCGCCUGUGACGAAGCGUGAGUGACGGUAAGGGGUAAAGAGGCACCGGCUAACUACG
This 466-nucleotide ribosomal RNA is filed under the name uncultured bacterium. Its description in RNAcentral is "partial 16S ribosomal RNA". It matches the Rfam family "Bacterial small subunit ribosomal RNA", at positions 28 to 505 of the family's 1533-position model. The record is from RNAcentral.